AUGGGAAUUGUUGAAUCAUGGCCUGAACUUCUGAUUGACCACCUGAGGCGAGCAAUGAGUCAGCCAUGGGAGCACAGGUGAAGGCAAUUCCUGUGUUACUGUCCUAGAUCCCAUUUAAGGGCUGACUGCCACUAGGGAAGGAUUUCUGGAGGUUGUUCCUUUUGGUGUUUUUCUUGAUAAGCUUGGGACACAGUUGAUGAGAAGCAGUCAGGAAGUCUAGCAGAUAUGAAUAGGAAACCACUGGAAUAUAAGGCCAUUCUGUCAACUCAGAACAGACAGAUACCUACAGCUUCAUCACUGCCAGUAGCACACUGCUGGGUUGGCAUUUACUGAUCAAAAGAAACUUUGCCUGAAGAAUUUCCUCUGUCCAAAGAUAAAAGGAAUACAAUACUUUCAUGGUGCUGGUAGGACCAAAACCUGUAGAAUGGGCCCAAUGCCUACCACAGCAUACUUGCUACUCAUGAAGAGCGCAAACUGUGCACACAUGCCAAGGACACAAGCUGUAAAUAUCCAUCAUCUGCCACUGAAAAUGAGCAUGUCAGCAGGUCCUUCCACAUCAGGUCCUGUAUAAAAGUAGACCAGGAUCUAGACGUGCAUUUAUGUUCUUUAGCACAGACUUGUAAAUUAAUACAGUAUGCAUUUUAGGACAUUUGUAAAUAACUAUUUGAUGUACAUUAUAGUAUUUCAACUAGCAGAUAUAGAUUAAGAAACACAGUAUAUAAACUUUUACUUCAUUAUGUGUAGAACUCUCCAGCCUUUUUGGAGAUUGGAGUAUAAUGUUUUGGCAAAGUAUCCCCCUAACUGAUAUUUUCUACUAUUUACAUUAUGCUUUUCUACUGAAUAGUAUGUUAUUUUACAUCCAUAGUACUCAGACUAUGCUAAAAAAUAAGCAUAUAAGAUUAAGCUUCUGUAAGUCUCUAGCUGACCGUAACUAUUCUAUCUGCUUUCCUUCUGAGUAUCCUUGGCAUAAUGUGUCCUGAAGAACAUAUUCUGUUCUGAAGGGUGAAGCAAACAAUGGAAGCCAUAAUGCUACCAUAUUUGCUUACAGAACUCACAAAGAAUGUUUUCAGGUUUUGUGGCACAAGGUUUGCAUUUUGUUGACCAGAAAAAAUAAAUGCCUUCAAGCACUGAUGAGCAGUCAUGUUCAUGAACAGGUUAGUCUGACAUGUGUGUUUUGGUAAAGAACAGGAAACUGUUAUUCCCAUUUCUCUUGCAAAAUCGUUCUUUAAUGACCCAGAAAGGACCAUAUCUGACACCAAGCACCUUGAUUAAAACUGACUGCCCCCUUUGUUCUCUAGUAUUUUGUAAUCUAGUAGUUUCCAAAAAUGCAAUUGUAGAAGCAGAGCACUACUUUUCACCGUUUCUCAGAGUUACUACAAUACCUGUAGAAGUUGUAUAGUAGCUCUUAAACAAACCAGAUCUUUCAGCGUUCAAGGGCCUUUCUCCAGAGAGGUAGAUCAAUACACUUUCCCAG
Molecule: long non-coding RNA, 1474 nt
Filed under: Gallus gallus (chicken)
Lineage: Eukaryota; Metazoa; Chordata; Aves; Galliformes; Phasianidae
Description: lncRNA (ENSGALG00010007177.1)
Source: RNAcentral